Molecule: long non-coding RNA, 367 nt
Organism: Ochotona curzoniae (black-lipped pika)
Lineage: Eukaryota; Metazoa; Chordata; Mammalia; Lagomorpha; Ochotonidae
Exons: 3
Source: RefSeq, a predicted model, not a curated record
AUUAAAAAGAGGAGAGGAUGAGCUCGGGUUUGAAAAAUGCUGGAAAUGAUGGGUGGAGGGUUCAAGAAUGCUUGUAAUACAAAAGGUGAUGGAAGCCUACGUGGGACAGAUAAAUGCUUUGGCCUCGUCAUAGGUGUCCAUUGGGAUACAGGGCGAACUUGUGGGAAAUGUUCCACUAUGGGGAUGAACAUGAACCAGAUUUGAGGUUCUUUCCAACUCAGAAUCUCCUAGGAUCCUCACUCCUUUCCCCAAGCAUCCGGAACUCAGUAAACCUUCAGUGUCCACCUCACCCAUGGGAUGGGUCUGCAGCUCAGGAAUGUUCAUUGAAGACAGGUGCAGACAAGGGUUUCCUGAUCUAGUUCCAGAA